GGGCCCAUAGAUCAGUGGUAGAUCGCUUCCUUCGCAAGGAAGAGGCCCCGGGUUCAAAUCCCGGUGGGUCCA
RNAcentral lists this transfer RNA (72 nucleotides) under Methanobacteriota archaeon. Its description in RNAcentral is "tRNA-Ala". It matches the Rfam family "tRNA". From Rfam's summary of the family: Transfer RNA (tRNA) molecules are approximately 80 nucleotides in length. Their secondary structure includes four short double-helical elements and three loops (D, anti-codon, and T loops). The record is from RNAcentral. RNAcentral also lists the same sequence under 1 other name. Lineage: Archaea; Methanobacteriati; Methanobacteriota.